Molecule: ribosomal RNA, 503 nt
Filed under: uncultured bacterium
Lineage: Bacteria
Description: partial 16S ribosomal RNA
Rfam family: Bacterial small subunit ribosomal RNA
Source: RNAcentral
AACGAACGCUGGCGGCACGUUUUAAGCAUGCAAGUCGAAUGGCAGUGGGGGCAACCCCAUGAGAAUGGCGAACGGGUGAGUAACACGUAGGUGAUCUGCCUGACGGAUGGGGAUAGCUUGUGGAAACACAGGGUAAUACCGAAUGAGCUGACGCGACUUUGGUUUUGUUAGUAAAGGUGCUACGGCACCGCCGAAAGAGGAGCCUGCGGCUGAUUAGCUAGUUGGUGGGGUAAAGGCCUACCAAGGCGACGAUCAGUAGCCGGCCUGAGAGGGUGUACGGCCACACUGGAACUGAGACACGGUCCAGACUCCUACGGGAGGCAGCAGCUAAGAAUCUUCCGCAAUGGGCGAAAGCCUGACGGAGCGAUGCCGCGUGAUCGAUGAAGGUCGAGAGAUUGUAAAGAUCUUUUCUACAUGAGGAAUAAGUCUGGGAGGGAAUGCCUGGAUGAUGACGUUAGUGUAGGAAUAAGCCCCGGCUAAUUACGUGCCAGCCGCCGCCGUAA